UCCAAUGUUACACACUUUUAAGGCUAAAGAGAUACAAAUAAAUUUUUAGGAGUGUGUUCACAUGGCACAAGGUACUGUUAAAUGGUUUAACCCAGAAAAAGGUUUUGGUUUCAUCACAGCUGAAGAUGGGAAAGAUGUAUUCGUACAUUUCUCUGCUAUCCAAACUGAUGGAUUCAAAACUCUUGAAGAAGGUCAAGCAGUUGAAUUCGACGUUGAAGACGGACAACGCGGACCUCAAGCGGUUAACGUAACAAAAGCUUAAUUUUAAUUAAGUAGUAAAAAUGGACUGACCUCGGUUGGUCCAUUUUGC
RNAcentral lists this non-coding RNA (310 nucleotides) under Floricoccus tropicus. Its description in RNAcentral is "cspA thermoregulator". It matches the Rfam family "cspA thermoregulator", at positions 89 to 428 of the family's 428-position model. The record is from Rfam by way of RNAcentral. Lineage: Bacteria; Bacillati; Bacillota; Bacilli; Lactobacillales; Streptococcaceae.